UACGUAGGGUGCGAGCGUUAAUCGGAAUUACUGGGCGUAAAGCGUGCGCAGGCGGUUGUGCAAGACCGAUGUGAGAUCCCCGGGCUUAACCUGGGAACUGCAUUGGUGACUGCACGGCUAGAGUGUGUCAGAGGGGGGUAGAAUUCCACGUGUAGCAGUGAAAUGCGUAGAUAUGUGGAGGAAUACCGAUGGCGAAGGCAGCCCCCUGGGAUAACACUGACGCUCAUGCACGAAAGCGUGGGGAGCAAACAGG
Molecule: ribosomal RNA, 253 nt
Filed under: uncultured bacterium
Lineage: Bacteria
Description: partial 16S ribosomal RNA
Rfam family: Bacterial small subunit ribosomal RNA
Source: RNAcentral